Molecule: unclassified non-coding RNA, 283 nt
Filed under: Hevea brasiliensis (rubber tree)
Lineage: Eukaryota; Viridiplantae; Streptophyta; Magnoliopsida; Malpighiales; Euphorbiaceae
Source: RNAcentral
GUCAAAAAGCAAUGCACUCUCAUCUCUCUCAUCGAGUUCGGCAGCUUCAGCUUCGAGCCAUUUCUCUCGCAGAUCAUCCAAAACGUUUCCUUCAGCUGUGCUGCUCAUCUCAGCUCCUGGAGCACUUGGGGCAGUUGUACGAAGUGCAGAAUCGCCAGAUGGUGGUGGGAGGGUCAAAAGCAUUGCCCUAAACUCUUGGGUAUCCGCAAACGUCUCAAAGUUACAUGCCAUUGCGUCUAGACAAUACUCCCGAAUCUUUAUAACACCAUACAUGUCCGACAAU